ACUCCUACGGGAGGCAGCAGUGGGGAAUAUUGGACAAUGGGCGCAAGCCUGAUCCAGCAAUGCCGCGUGUGUGAAGAAGGCCUUCGGGUUGUAAAGCACUUUUAUCAGGAGCGAAAUACUACCGGCUAAUAUCCGGUGGGGCUGACGGUACCUGAGGAAUAAGCACCGGCUAACGUCGUGCCAGCAGCCGCGGUAAUACGAAGGGUGCAAGCGUUAAUCGGAAUUACUGGGCGUAAAGCGUGCGUAGGCGGUUAUUUAAGUCUGUUGUGAAAUCCCCGGGCUCAACCUGGGAAUGGCAAUGGAUACUGGAUAGCUAGAGUGUGAUAGAGGAUGGUGGAAUUCCCGGUGUAGCGGUGAAAUGCGUAGAGAUCGGGAGGAACAUCAGUGGCGAAGGCGGCCAUCUGGAUCAACACUGACGCUGAGGCACGAAAGCGUGGGGAGCAAACAGGAUUAGAAACCCGGGUAGUCC
This 469-nucleotide ribosomal RNA is filed under the name uncultured bacterium. Its description in RNAcentral is "bacterial SSU rRNA". It matches the Rfam family "Bacterial small subunit ribosomal RNA", at positions 335 to 796 of the family's 1533-position model. The record is from RNAcentral.